AAGACCCCAAUGCGUCGCGGAUGCGGCGUCUCCAACGCGACCCCGGGUCAGGCGGGGUUACCCGCUGAGUUUAAAGCAUAUCA
Molecule: ribosomal RNA, 83 nt
Filed under: Ziziphus mauritiana (Indian jujube)
Lineage: Eukaryota; Viridiplantae; Streptophyta; Magnoliopsida; Rosales; Rhamnaceae
Description: partial 28S ribosomal RNA
Source: RNAcentral